ACUCUUCUUUUUUGUACAUUCAAAGAGUUUUCAUUCUACUUCUUACAAUGGCUGCUUCUACAAUGGCUCUUUCCUCCUCUACCUUUGCCGGAAAGGCAGUGAAACUCUCACCAUCUUCCUCUGAAAUCACCGGAAAUGGGAGAAUCACCAUGAGGAAGACUGCUUCCAAGGCCAAGCCUGCCUCCUCUGGUAGCCCAUGGUACGGUCCUGACCGUGUUAAGUACUUGGGCCCAUUCUCUGGUGAAGCCCCAAGCUACUUGACUGGUGAGUUCCCUGGUGACUAUGGAUGGGACACUGCUGGACUUUCAGCUGACCCUGAAACAUUCGCUAAGAACCGUGAAUUGGAGGUGAUUCACUGCAGAUGGGCCAUGCUUGGAGCUCUUGGAUGUGUCUUCCCUGAGCUUUUGGCCCGUAACGGUGUCAAGUUUGGUGAAGCUGUAUGGUUCAAGGCUGGAUCCCAAAUUUUCAGCGAGGGUGGACUCGACUACUUGGGCAACCCAAGCUUGGUCCAUGCACAAAGCAUCUUGGCUAUUUGGGCUUGCCAAGUUGUGUUGAUGGGAGCCGUUGAAGGUUACCGUAUUGCUGGUGGGCCUCUUGGUGAGGUUGUUGAUCCACUUUACCCUGGUGGUAGCUUUGACCCAUUGGGCCUUGCUGACGACCCAGAGGCUUUUGCUGAGCUCAAGGUUAAGGAAAUCAAGAAUGGCAGACUUGCUAUGUUCUCCAUGUUUGGAUUCUUUGUCCAAGCUAUCGUCACCGGAAAGGGUCCAUUGGAGAACCUUGCUGACCACCUUGCUGACCCAGUUAACAACAACGCCUGGGCCUUUGCCACAAACUUCGUUCCCGGAAAAUGAGCUGGAUCCCAGAUUUUCAGCGAGGGUGGACUCGACUACUUGGGCAACCCAAGCUUGGUCCAUGCACAAAGCAUCUUGGCUAUUUGGGCUUGCCAAGUUGUGUUGAUGGGAGCCGUUGAAGGUUACCGUAUUGCUGGUGGGCCUCUUGGUGAGGUUGUUGACCCACUUUACCCUGGUGGUAGCUUUGACCCAUUGGGCCUUGCUGAUGACCCAGAGGCUUUUGCUGAGCUCAAGGUGAAAGAGAUCAAGAACGGCAGACUUGCUAUGUUCUCCAUGUUUGGAUUCUUUGUACAAGCUAUCGUCACCGGAAAGGGCCCAUUGGAGAACCUUGCCGACCACCUUGCUGACCCAGUUAAUAACAACGCUUGGGCCUUUGCCACAAACUUUGUUCCCGGAAAGUGAAGUUUUUGAGAGAGAAAAUGUUACUUCUAGUAUCUUAUUGUUUGAUGACCUUUUAAACCUAGCAAUUGUAAAUUACUAGAGAUUAUAUAUGAAGUUUUUUGCCAUCAGGCUA
Molecule: RNA transcript, 1365 nt
Organism: Solanum verrucosum
Lineage: Eukaryota; Viridiplantae; Streptophyta; Magnoliopsida; Solanales; Solanaceae
Gene name: chlorophyll a-b binding protein 3C, chloroplastic-like
Exons: 2
Source: RefSeq, a predicted model, not a curated record